This 253-nucleotide ribosomal RNA is filed under the name uncultured bacterium. RNAcentral describes it as "partial 16S ribosomal RNA". It matches the Rfam family "Bacterial small subunit ribosomal RNA", at positions 524 to 776 of the family's 1533-position model. The record is from RNAcentral.
UACGUAGGGGGCAAGCGUUGUCCGGAAUCAUUGGGCGUAAAGAGCGUGUAGGCGGUCCGAUAAGUCCGCUCUGAAAGUCCGGGGCUCAACCCCGGGAGGCGGGCGGAUACUGUCGGGCUAGAGUCCGGAAGAGGCAAGUGGAAUUCCUGGUGUAGCGGUGAAAUGCGCAGAUAUCAGGAAGAACACCCGUGGCGAAGGCGGCUCUCUGGGACGGUACUGACGCUGAGACGCGAAAGCGUGGGGAGCAAACAGG